Molecule: long non-coding RNA, 908 nt
Filed under: Helianthus annuus (common sunflower)
Lineage: Eukaryota; Viridiplantae; Streptophyta; Magnoliopsida; Asterales; Asteraceae
Source: RNAcentral
GGUCGAUCUGCGCCACCGUUAUGUGCAUAAGUUGCACUUUUACCAUGAAGAGUGGUGUAAGGCUGAUGCAGCUCAACCUUUUUUCCUACUGGAUAUCACUCGGUGUUAUAUGGCUAGAAGAGAAGGUGAAAGUGAUGUCUCUGUGGACUUGACAAGAGGGCCUUUAAUCGCGCCAUCCUAUUCUCUACCAGAAUCCGAUCUUCCUUCAGCCGAUCUCCCUAAAAGUGUUACAAGUGGCACAGAGAUUGUAAAUACCGAUGAAAAAAGAUAACUCGGGCCUGAGCUGAUUUUGAUAUCAUAUGCCGAGUCACCUAACACCAAGGAUUCACUUGGAAAAACCAACACUUAGAUCGUUUCACCUGGAACAUUUAAGGCAACCAAAAGAAUGGGAAUAUGUGCAUGGGCUGGUUGUUAUCUCGAUCUUGAAGUUUAGUGCAUGCAGCUUCUUUAUUUUGUUUAUUGUUGAUUAUUUAGAGUCAAAGUAAUCACAUAUGGAUAAUUUGGCCAGAAUACAUUAUCAUCGAUGCAAAUAGCGAGGUUAUGGCCCCGAAUAAUUACAUCGAGUUCAUUACGCGUCAAGAACAAGUUUAUCUCAAUGGGCCGUAUUGAUGAUGCAGUGACCAGAAUCUUACGCGUCAAAUUUACCAUGGGCCUGUUUGAGAACCCUCUUGCCGAUUACAGUAUGGUUAACGAGGUUGGAAGCCAGGCACACAGAGAAAUAGCAAGGGAGGCAGUGAGGUCACUAGUGUUGCUGAAAUCAUGUUUGUUAACUGUUUUAUAAGAGACUAGGAGUUGAUAUUUUAUGUUAUUCGUAAGCCAAUAUUGAAAUCCAAUGUGAUUGUGCAUAUCAAAAUAUAUCGUGUUUGUGUGUUUCAAACGUUGGUGACGGUGGUAGUGUUAAAGCCUUU